RNAcentral lists this transfer RNA (72 nucleotides) under Hannaella oryzae. RNAcentral describes it as "tRNA-Val". It matches the Rfam family "tRNA". From Rfam's summary of the family: Transfer RNA (tRNA) molecules are approximately 80 nucleotides in length. Their secondary structure includes four short double-helical elements and three loops (D, anti-codon, and T loops). Further hydrogen bonds mediate the characteristic L-shaped molecular structure. tRNAs have two regions of fundamental functional importance: the anti-codon, which is responsible for specific mRNA codon recognition, and the 3' end, to which the tRNAs corresponding amino acid is attached (by aminoacyl-tRNA synthetases). tRNAs cope with the degeneracy of the genetic code in two manners: having more than one tRNA (with a specific anti-codon) for a particular amino acid; and 'wobble' base-pairing, i.e. permitting non-standard base-pairing at the 3rd anti-codon position. Lineage: Eukaryota; Fungi; Basidiomycota; Tremellomycetes; Tremellales; Bulleribasidiaceae. The record is from RNAcentral.
AGGGGAUUAGAUUAGUGGUUAAAUCACCAUUCUUACACAGUGGCUACAGCCGUUCGAUUCGGCUAUUCCUUA